GACGAACGCUGGCGGCGUGCUUAACACAUGCAAGUCGAACGGAAAGGCCCUGCUUUUGUGGGGUGCUCGAGUGGCGAACGGGUGAGUAACACGUGAGUAACCUGCACUUGACUUUGGGAUAACUUCAGGAAACUGGGGCUAAUACCGGAUAGGAGCUCCUGCUGCAUGGUGGGGGUUGGAAAGUUUCGGCGGUUGGGGAUGGAUUCGCGGCUUAUCAGCUUGUUGGUGGGGUAGUGGCUUACCAAGGCUUUGACGGGUAGCCGGCCUGAGAGGGUGACCGGCCACAUUGGGACUGAGAUACGGCCCAGACUCCUACGGGAGGCAGCAGUGGGGAAUAUUGCACAAUGGGCGGAAGCCUGAUGCAGCAACGCCGCGUGCGGGAUGACGGCCUUCGGGUUGUAAACCGCUUUCGCCUGUGACGAAGCGUGAGUGACGGUAAUGGGUAAAGAAGCACCGGCUAACUACGUG
RNAcentral lists this ribosomal RNA (468 nucleotides) under uncultured bacterium. RNAcentral describes it as "partial 16S ribosomal RNA". It matches the Rfam family "Bacterial small subunit ribosomal RNA", at positions 28 to 507 of the family's 1533-position model. The record is from RNAcentral.